CAGCAUUACUCUGGAGAGUCUUCACCGGCUUCGGCAUACGGUGAAGCGCCGAAGGUGUACGGCAGAUAGUUCUGCCAAUCUCUCAGGCAAAAGGACAGAACACGUAAA
Regulatory RNA element from Eubacteriaceae bacterium CHKCI004, 108 nucleotides. It matches the Rfam family "Glycine riboswitch aptamer". From Rfam's summary of the family: This family represents the bacterial glycine riboswitch. Glycine riboswitches usually consist of two metabolite-binding aptamers domains with similar structures in tandem. The record is from Rfam. Lineage: Bacteria; Bacillati; Bacillota; Clostridia; Eubacteriales; Eubacteriaceae.